RNAcentral lists this ribosomal RNA (468 nucleotides) under uncultured bacterium. RNAcentral's name for it is "partial 16S ribosomal RNA". It matches the Rfam family "Bacterial small subunit ribosomal RNA", at positions 28 to 507 of the family's 1533-position model. The record is from RNAcentral.
GACGAACGCUGGCGGCGUGCUUAACACAUGCAAGUCGAACGGAAAGGCCCUGCUUUUGUGGGGUGCUCGAGUGGCGAACGGGUGAGUAACACGUGAGUAACCUGCUCUUGACUUUGGGAUAACUUCAGGAAACUGGGGCUAAUACCGGAUAGGAGCUCCUGCUGCAUGGUGGGGGUUGGAAAGUUUCGGCGGUUGGGUAUGGACUCGCGGCUUAUCAGCUUGUUGGUGGGGUAGUGGCUUAUCAAGGCUUUGACGGGUAGCUGGCCUGAGAGGGUGACCGGCGACAAUGGGACUGAGAUAAGGCCCAGCCUCCUACGGGAGGCAGCAGUGGGGAAUAUUGCACCAUGGGCGGAAGCCUGAGGCAGCAACGCCGCAUGCGGGAUGACGGCCUUCGGGUUGUAGGCCCCUUUCGCCUGUGACGAAGCGUGAGUGAGGUAAAUGUGUAAAGAAGCACCGGCUAACUACGUG